RNAcentral lists this ribosomal RNA (415 nucleotides) under uncultured crenarchaeote. RNAcentral describes it as "partial 16S ribosomal RNA". It matches the Rfam family "Archaeal small subunit ribosomal RNA", at positions 330 to 747 of the family's 1478-position model. The record is from RNAcentral. Lineage: Archaea; Thermoproteati; Thermoproteota.
GUGCAGCAGUCGCGAAAACUCUGCAAUACGCGAAAGCGUGACAGGGCUACCCCGAGUGUCGUCCGCUGAGGACGACUUUUCCACGCUGUAAGGAGGCGUGGGAAUAAGGAGAGGGCAAGUCUGGUGUCAGCCGCCGCGGUAAUACCAGCUCUUCGAGUGGUAGGGACGUUUAUUGGGCUUAAAGCGUCCGUAGCCGGCUCAACAAGCCUUCCGUUAAAUCCAACGAUUCAAUCGUUGGACUGCGGGAGAUACUGCUGGGCUGGGAGGUGAGAGAGGCCGACGGUAUUCCCGGAGUAGGGGUGAAAUCUUAUAAGUCCGGGAGGACCACCAGCGGCGAAGGCUGUCGGCUAGAACGCGCUCGACGGUGAGGGACGAAAGCUGGGGGAGCGAACCGGAUUAGAUACCCGCGUAGUCC